This 484-nucleotide ribosomal RNA is filed under the name uncultured bacterium. RNAcentral describes it as "partial 16S ribosomal RNA". It matches the Rfam family "Bacterial small subunit ribosomal RNA", at positions 899 to 1397 of the family's 1533-position model. The record is from RNAcentral.
ACUCAAAUGAAUUGACGGGGGCCCGCACAAGCAGCGGAGCGUGUGGUUCAAUUCGAUGCAACGCGAAGAACCUUACCCGGGCUUGACAUGCGCGUGGUACCGAGCCGAGAGGGGAGGGACCCGCGAGGGAGCGCGCACAGGUGCUGCAUGGCUGUCGUCAGCUCGUGCCGUGAGGUGUUGGGUUAAGUCCCGCAACGAGCGCAACCCCCGCCGCCAGUUGCCUGUCUGGCGGGACCGCCGGGUCGAACCCGGAGGAAGGUGGGGACGACGUCAAGUCAGCACGGCCCGUACGCCCGGGGCCACACACACGCUACAAUGGCCGGUACAGAGGGCCGCGAAGGGGCGACCCGGAGCCAAUCCCAGCAAAGCCGGCCCCAGUGGGGAUCGCAGGCUGCAACCCGCCUGCGUGAACGCGGAGUUGCUAGUAACCGCCGGUCAGCACACGGCGGUGAAUACGUUCCCGGGCCUUGUACACACCGCCCGU